GAUGAACGCUGGCGGCGUGCCUAAUACAUGCAAGUCGAGCGAACGGACGAGAAGCUUGCUUCUCUGAUGUUAGCGGCGGACAGGUGAGUAACACGUGGAUAACCUACCUAUAAGACUGGGAUAACUUCGGGAAACCGGAGCUAAUACCGGAUAAUAUUUUGAACCGCAUGGUUCAAAAGUGAAAGACGGUCUUGCUGUCACUUAUAGAUGGAUCCGCGCUGCAUUAGCUAGUUGGUAAGGUAACGGCUUACCAAGGCAACGAUGGAUAGCCGACCUGAGAGGGUGAUCGGCCACACUGGAACUAAGACACGGUCCAGACUCCUACGGGAGGCAGCAGUAGGGAAUCUUCCGCAAUGGGCGAAAGCCUGACGGAGCAACGCCGCGUGAGUGAUGAAGGUCUUCGGAUCGUAAAACUCUGUUAUUAGGGAGGAACAUAUGUGUAAGUAACUGUGCACAUCUUGACGGUACCUAAUCAGAAAGCCACGGCUAACUACGUG
This 497-nucleotide ribosomal RNA is filed under the name uncultured bacterium. RNAcentral describes it as "partial 16S ribosomal RNA". It matches the Rfam family "Bacterial small subunit ribosomal RNA", at positions 28 to 507 of the family's 1533-position model. The record is from RNAcentral.